Molecule: ribosomal RNA, 470 nt
Filed under: uncultured bacterium
Lineage: Bacteria
Description: bacterial SSU rRNA
Rfam family: Bacterial small subunit ribosomal RNA
Source: RNAcentral
GAUGAACGCUAGCGAUAGGCCUAACACAUGCAAGUCGAGGGGCAUCACAUGAAGUAGCAAUACGGAUGGUGGCGACCGGCGCACGGGUGAGUAACACGUAUGCAACCUGCCUUCAACAAGGGGAUAACCCGUUGAAAGACGGACUAAUACCCUAUAACACAGGGGUCCCGCAUGGGAAUAUUUGUUAAAGGACAACCGGUUGAAGAUGGGCAUGCGUUCCAUUAGCUAGUUGGCGGGGUAACGGCCCACCAAGGCAACGAUGGAUAGGGGAACUGAGAGGUUUAUCCCCCACACUGGUACUGAGACACGGACCAGACUCCUACGGGAGGCAGCAGUGAGGAAUAUUGGUCAAUGGACGCAAGUCUGAACCAGCCACGUCGCGUGAAGGAAGACGGCCCUACGGUUGUAACUUACUUUGCAAGGAAGUAAGUGGGCCACGUGUGGCCUUUUGCAAGUACCUUGCGAAUAAG